AUGCAAAGCCGCGAGGCAGAGCGAACCCCGAAAAGCCGUCCCAGUUCGGAUUGCAGGCUGCAACCCGCCUGCAUGAAGUCGGAAUCGCUAGUAAUCGCGGAUCAGCAUGCCGCGGUGAAUACGUUCCCGGGCCUUGUACACACCGCCCGUCACACCAUGAGAGUCGGAACACCCGAAGUCCGUAGCCUAACUUUAACGAGAGGGCGCGGCCGAAGGUGGGUUCGAUAAUUGGGGUGAAGUCGUAACAAGGUACC
Molecule: ribosomal RNA, 254 nt
Filed under: uncultured bacterium
Lineage: Bacteria
Description: partial 16S ribosomal RNA
Rfam family: Bacterial small subunit ribosomal RNA
Source: RNAcentral